This 186-nucleotide unclassified non-coding RNA is filed under the name uncultured fungus. RNAcentral's name for it is "sequence contains ITS1". The record is from RNAcentral. Lineage: Eukaryota; Fungi.
UUGUUUGAUUUUAAUCAAGACUCUGACGCAAGGACAAAAGAGUUUGUGUUGUCUGCCGGGGUCCCCCCCGCAUUCGCGGGGGCUCCCCCGAGGCAUACGAGUCGGGGUUCCAACUAACAAAGGGUGGGAGAUCGGGCAAAGCCCUAAUCCACGGUAAUGAUCCCUCCGCAGGUUCACCUACGGAGA